RNAcentral lists this ribosomal RNA (253 nucleotides) under uncultured bacterium. Its description in RNAcentral is "partial 16S ribosomal RNA". It matches the Rfam family "Bacterial small subunit ribosomal RNA", at positions 524 to 776 of the family's 1533-position model. The record is from RNAcentral.
UACGUAGGUGGCAAGCGUUGUCCGGAUUUACUGGGCGUAAAGCGUGCGCAGGCGGUUGUGCAAGACAGAUGUGAAAUCCCCGGGCUCAACCUGGGAAUUGCAUUUGUGACUGCACGGCUAGAGUGUGUCAGAGGGGGGUAGAAUUCCACGUGUAGCAGUGAAAUGCGUAGAUAUGUGGAGGAACACCGAUGGCGAAGGCAGCCCCCUGGGUUAACACUGACGCUCAUGCACGAAAGCGUGGGGAGCAAACAGG